GGUGCGCGCGCGCCGCAGCUCUCGGCGCCGCUCGGCGGUCCGUGACCUUGACCGGAGCUGACCUCCGCGACUGGGUGCGGUAUCAUCGAGUGCACAGAUACUUGAUGUGAGCAUGACGCUCAGCGAGGUGCUGCAAGACGUCGCCCAAGGACUGGGAGGACUGGCUUCGUGGACGUUCGAGAAGUUCUGGGAAGCAUGGCACUUCUUCUGGAUUUGGCUGGGUUUUCAAAAGCCAGCGCUGGCCGGGCCCGACCGGCGCGAGCUGCUGGAGUGGGUGCGGCUGCACCUGCCGACCGCGCCGCCAGCCAACUUCGGC
Pollicipes pollicipes is the source of this 316-nucleotide long non-coding RNA. RefSeq lists it as uncharacterized. NCBI's taxonomy places the organism in Eukaryota, Metazoa, Arthropoda, Thecostraca, Pollicipedomorpha, Pollicipedidae. The transcript is spliced from 3 exons. The record is from RefSeq and is a predicted model, not a curated record.